Molecule: ribosomal RNA, 460 nt
Filed under: Acetomicrobium sp. enrichment culture clone SEQ14_Clone7EP1_ANA
Lineage: Bacteria; Thermotogati; Synergistota; Synergistia; Synergistales; Acetomicrobiaceae
Description: bacterial SSU rRNA
Rfam family: Bacterial small subunit ribosomal RNA
Source: RNAcentral
GGGAUAACGCCUGGAAACGGGUGCUAGAACCCCAUAUGCCUCGCACGAGGUGAAAGUGUAGCUUGCUACAGCCUUAGGGUGUGCUCGCGGCCUAUCAGCUAGUUGGUGAGGUAACGGCUCACCAAGGCUAAGACAGGUAGCCGGCCUGAGAAGGUGUACAGCCACACUGGAAUUGAGAUACGGACCAGACUCCUACGGGAGGCAGCAAGUGGGGAAAUCAUUGGGCAAUAGGGCGAAAAGCCUGAACCAGCGACGCCGAGUUGGGGAUGAAAACCACUUAGGAGGUGUAAACCCAAUGAGGUAGGGGACGAAGAAAGUGACGGUACCCUACGAGGAAGCCCCGGUUAACUACGUGCCAGCAGCCGCUGUAAGACGUAGGGGGCGAGCGUUGUCCGGAAUUACUGGGCGUAAAGGGCACGCAGGCGGUGCGCCAAGUCGAGGGUGUAAAGUUACGGCUCAA